CCUACGGGAGGCAGCAGUAAGGAAUAUUGGUCAAUGGGCGCAAGCCUGAACCAGCCAUGCCGCGUGCAGGAAGACGGUCCUAUGGGUUGUAAACUGCUUUUGAACAAGAGAAAACCUCGGUACGUGUACCGAGCUGAUAGUAUUGUUAGAAUAAGCAUCGGCUAACUUCGUGCCAGCAGCCGCGGUAAGACGAAGGAUGCAAGCGUUAUCCGGAUUCAUUGGGUUUAAGGGGUGCGUAGGCGGCCUGAUAAGUCAGUGGUGAAAUCUCUCAGCUUAACUGAGAAACUGCCAUUGAUACUGUCGGGCUUGAGUACAGAUGAUGUGGGCGGAAUAUGACAUGUAGUGGUGAAAUACUUAGAUAUGUCAUAGAACACCGAUUGCGAAGGCAGCUCACAAAACUGUAACUGACGCUGGAGACGACGAAGUAGCGGGAGUACAACAGAGUAGUAUACCUACGUACGUACGUCGACCGUAACGUAACGUAGUAUACUCGUU
RNAcentral lists this ribosomal RNA (495 nucleotides) under uncultured bacterium. RNAcentral describes it as "bacterial SSU rRNA". It matches the Rfam family "Bacterial small subunit ribosomal RNA", at positions 338 to 821 of the family's 1533-position model. The record is from RNAcentral.